AUCUACGGCCAUACCACGGGAAACGCACAGGAUCCCGUCCGAUCUCCUAAGUAUUUAAGCCCCGUAGGGUCUAGUCAGUAUUGCGGUGGGGGACCACGCGAGAAUCCUAGAUGCCGUAGGUU
RNAcentral lists this ribosomal RNA (122 nucleotides) under Ceraceosorus bombacis. The record is from RNAcentral. Lineage: Eukaryota; Fungi; Basidiomycota; Exobasidiomycetes; Ceraceosorales; Ceraceosoraceae.